UGGGGAAUCUUGAACAAUGGGGGCAACCCUGAUGCAGCGACGCCGCGUGAGCGAUGAAGCCCUUCGGGGCGUAAAGCUCUUUCGACCGGAACGAUAAUGACGGUACCGGGAGAAGAAGCUGCGGCUAACUACGUGCCAGCAGCCGCGGUAAUACGUAGGCAGCAAGCGUCGUUCGGAGUUACUGGGCGUAAAGAGUGCGUAGGCGGUUUUCUAAGUUCGGUGUGAAAUCUCCCGGCUUAACUGGGAGGGUGCGCCGAAGACUGGGAAGCUGGAGUGUGGGAAAGGCAGGCGGAAUUCCUGGUGUAGCGGUGAAAUGCGUAGAUAUCAGGAGGAACACCGGCGGUGUAGACGGCUUGCUAGACCAUAACUGACGCUGAGGCACGAAAGCGUGGGUAGCAAACA
This 402-nucleotide ribosomal RNA is filed under the name uncultured bacterium. Its description in RNAcentral is "bacterial SSU rRNA". It matches the Rfam family "Bacterial small subunit ribosomal RNA", at positions 355 to 774 of the family's 1533-position model. The record is from RNAcentral.